Ricinus communis (castor bean) is the source of this 6299-nucleotide RNA transcript. RefSeq lists it as uncharacterized. The transcript is spliced from 5 exons. The record is from RefSeq and is a predicted model, not a curated record. Lineage: Eukaryota; Viridiplantae; Streptophyta; Magnoliopsida; Malpighiales; Euphorbiaceae.
UUUCUUUUUGCCGUCUCUCUUUUCUUCGAUCUCUCACUCUCUCUCUACCUCUCUCUCUCUCUAUAAGUCACUUUCUCUCUCUUAGAAUCUCGAGCUACUUUUGAUUUUAUAGAUCGAAAUCUGUUGAAUUGGAGCGAUCGGUGGUGAAGUUGGAUCGAGUUAUUUGGGAAUCAGAGGUUGAAGGAUUGGAAUUCGAUCGCGAGACAAAAAAAAUUAGGGUUUUGAAUUGUGGUUGUGGGGGGGAAUGGGAGGAUCUAGGGCUUGGAAUCGGUGAAAUUGAUUGGAGGAAGCGGCGAUUAUUAGGGUUAGGGUUUUGUUUCUGGGGAAAGAAUUAGAAACGAGAGAAGGGGGGAUUGAUGGUAGUCCUAAGGGAAAAUGCAAGAAGGCUAUGCAUGGGCGGGAAGGUGAGGAAAGGACAAGGGAAAGGGGUCGGCACAUGUGGACAGGACCCACACGUGUGAAUUCUGUUCUUGUUGGUGUUUUAGGUGCUGCUGCUGGUGAUGUUUCCUCCUCUUAUUGUUCUGUUUCUACAACUAAUUCAUUUCUAAAGGAUGGGCGUAGGAUCAGUAUUGGAGAUUGUGCUCUUUUCAAACCACCACAGGACUCCCCACCUUUCAUUGGAAUAAUUCGUUGGCUGACUACUGGUAAAGAGAACGUGUUAAAGUUAGGUGUGAAUUGGCUCUAUAGACCUGCUGAAGUAAAGCUUGGCAAAGGCAUCCAUUUGGAAGCUGCGCCAAACGAAGUAUUCUAUUCCUUUCAUAAGGAUGAGAUUCCUGCUGCAUCCUUACUUCAUCCGUGUAAAGUUGCCUUCCUUCCUAAAGGUGUUGAACUUCCGACAGGGAUUUGCUCAUUUGUGUGCCGGCGAGUUUAUGACAUUACAAACAAGUGUUUAUGGUGGCUAACUGAUCAAGAUUAUAUUAAUGAGCGACAAGAAGAAGUAGAUCAGCUAUUGUGUAAGACACGCAUAGAAAUGCAUGUGCAGCAAGGCGGACGUUCGCCAAAGCCAAUGAAUGGUCCAACAUCAACUUCACAGUUAAAACUCGGUUCAGAUAGUGUGCAAAACAGUGCCUCGUCCUUUCCCUCUCAAGUUAAGGGAAAGAAAAGGGAACGGGGAGAUCAGGGAACUGAGCCAAUAAAACGAGAACGUUCUUCAAAAUUGGAUGACUGUGAUUCUAGUCACAGUAGACCAGAAAGUUUUUGGAAAUCUGAGAUUGCUAAGUUCACAGAAAAAGGGGGGCUUGUUGACUCUGAAGGGGUUGAAAAAUUGGUGCAGCUCAUGCUGCCUGAAAGAAAUGAAAAAAAGAUAGACUUGGUAGGCCGAUCAGUACUGGCAGGUGUAAUAGCAGCCACAGAUAAGUUUGAUUGCCUUGAUCAGUUUGUGCAGCUUAGGGGCUUGCCUGUAUUUGAUGAGUGGCUGCAGGAGGUGCAUAAAGGGAAGAUUGGCGAUGGUAGCAGCCACAAGGAUAGUGAUAAAUGUAUUGAGGAGUUUCUCUUAGUUUUACUUCGUGCUCUUGACAAACUUCCUGUAAAUCUUCAUGCUUUGCAAAUGUGUAACAUAGGCAAGUCUGUGAAUCAUCUGCGUACACAUAAGCAUUUGGAAAUUCAGAAGAAAGCAAGAACUCUUGUUGAUACAUGGAAGAAACGUGUUGAGGCUGAAAUGGAUGCAAGGUCUGGUUCUAAUACGGCUGUAUCAUGGGCUGCACGGCCACGUCUUCCUGAAGUUUCUCAUGGCGUGAACAGACAUUCUGGUGCAGCCUCUGAGAUUGCAAUGAAGAGUUCAGUUGCUCAAUUUUCUGCCUCAAAAAAUACUCCAGUGAAGAUUGGUCAGAUGGAAACUAUGGCCAAGUCUCUGGCUGUCUCUCCAGGAUCCAUGAAACCAGUACCAUCUUCAGCAUCAGCAGGUAACAGCACAAAAGAAGGGCAGGUGCGAAAUACUGGUGUUGGUGGUGCCUCUGACCUUCCUUCGAUACCUACAAGGGAUGAGAAAAGCAGCAGUUCUAGUCAGUCCCACAACAAUAGUCAAUCUUGUUCCAGCGACCAUGCCAAAAAUGGGGGGGUUUCUGGGAAAGAGGAUGCAAGGAGUUCUACUGCUGUUUCAAUGGCGGCAAAUAAGACUAUUGGUGGUUCUUCUCGGCAUCGGAAAUCAGUCAAUGGCUUCCAGGGUGGGGGUGCAACUGGGAUCCAGAGGGAUAGUGGAUCAAGCAGGAAUGCUUCCUUGCACAGAAUUCAGGGUGCAGAAAAAUUAUCUCAGUCCAGUUUGACUUGUGACAAGGCAGUUGAUGUUCCUAUAGCAGAGGGGAAUAAUCACAAAUUGAUUGUUAAAAUUCCUAACAGGGGUCGUAGUCCUGCACAAAGUGCAAGUGGGGGAUCUUUUGAAGACCCUUCGGUUAUGAAUAGCAGGGCUUCUUCUCCGGUGCUUUCAGAUAAGCAUGAACAGCUUGAUCGCAACUUGAAGGAAAAAAAUGAUGUUUACCGAACUAAUGUUGUCUCUGAUGUUAAUAAUGAGUCAUGGCAGAGCAAUGAUUUUAAGGAGGUGCUUACUGGGUCUGAUGAGGGCGAUGGGUCCCCUGCCAUUGCACCUGAUGAAGAGAACUGUAGGCCUGGUGAUGAUCAAAGGAAACUGGCAGAUGCCCCUAAAGCUGCUUCUUCAUCAUCUGGAAAUGAACAUAAAACUGGGAAAUUGCAUGAGGGUUCAUUUAGCUCCAUGAAUGCAUUGAUCGAGAGUUGUGUCAAGUACUCUGAAGUUACUGCACCCAUGUCUGUGGGAGAUGAUGUUGGAAUGAACCUGCUUGCUACUGUGGCUGCUGGGGAGAUGUCCAAAUCAGAUAUGGCUUCGCCAAAACAUUCUCCACAAACAAACACCACUGUCGUUGAGCAUCAUUGCACAAGCAAUGAUGGUAGACUGAAGUCGUCUCCAGGCGAUAACCUUCCACGAGACAGAAGACAGUCUGUUGAUGGUGUUGAUGAUGAACAUGAGAACCGGGAUAGUGUUAUAGGUAGUUCACUUCCAAAGAUCACAGAGGAUAAAAUCAUUUCAUGUUUGCAAGAAAUACCAACAGAGGUGCGUAAUGGACGUUCAAUUUCUUCAAAUAUGGAUGUUCAGAAAAUUGUAGAACCUGAUCUUGAAAGCAAUGUGAAAUCGGAAGAAAUAUUACCUGCCACACCAGUGGCUAGAUCCCCUAGAAAGACGGUAGAGAAGACAUCAAUGGGUGCAGACAAAGCGACUUGGGAGGGAAAGCCAGAUACUAAGUCAGAUGGCAUAUGUGAUACAAAAGAAAAUGUAGACAGCUGUCUUCGAAGUGAAAAUAAGUUUGAUGAUGCGGGUCUAGAAGGUGGGAAUGAACCUGUUGAAGGCUCAUUGCCUUGCCCAUCAAUGGAGGUAGAUGGUCAGGAGAUGAAACCUAUGAAUGAUGAGUUGAAGAUUCCUGCGCAAGCAGACCAAAAACCACCUGCUGUAGUGCAUUCUGUUUUUGCAAAAGGAACCGUCGUGGAUGGGCUAAAUCCUUCUCCUUCUGAUAAGGAUAAGGCUUCUGAUAUUGGUGGUGGUGAGGUGAAGGCUGAAAAGGCUGAUGAAACAGACUGCAUGAGUCAGCCUACUGGAAAAGAAAGUACAGCACCUGAAAUUAUUGUGGGUUCAGCUGUUACUUAUAAAAAGGGUGAGUCUAUUGAAGAGAGUCUAGAAUGUAGUCACUCUAAAGAACAACACAGCAGUGUCCCAGCUGUUGCCAAGGUGUCAGUUAUCUCUGUGCAAGAGGCAGAGCAGGAAGUGAGGUCUAGUGGUUCAAAGUUGAUUGGCAGUGAUGCUGGUGAAGCUGAGGAAAGUACAUCUGGUGCUGGAGAUGCUGCUUCAUUGUCUGCUGCAGGGGGUUCAGAUAUUGAAGCUAAGGUGGAAUUUGAUCUAAAUGAAGGCUUCAAUGCUGAUGAUGGGAGAUAUGGGGAAAUGAGUAACUUGAAAGCACCUGAAUGUUCUACUGCUAUUCAAUUGAUUAAUCCUUUGCCUUUACCUGUUUCUUCUGCUUCCACUGGCUUACCUGCUUCAAUUACAGUGGCUUCUGCUGCAAAAAGGCCCUUUGUUCCUCCAGAGGACUUACUGAAGAAUAGGGGGGAACUUGGUUGGAAGGGAUCCGCCGCCACAAGUGCCUUUAGGCCUGCCGAACCUAGAAAAACUUUGGAGACAUCAGCAGGUACUAGUACCUUUCUUCUUGAUGCUGCUGCUGUCAUCAAGCCCAGUCGUCCACCAUUGGAUUUUGACUUGAAUGUUCCAGAUGAAAGAAUCCUCGAGGAUAUGGCAUCGAGAGGUUCUGUUCAUGGUACAGUUUCUGUAGCUAACCUUUCCAAUAAUCUUAAUCUUCAACAUGAUGAAAUAGUGGUUUCUGAACCUGUUCGUGGCUCUGGGGGACUUGAUCUUGAUUUGAACAGAGUGGAGGAGCCUAAUGAUGUGGGUAAUCACUUAACAAGUAAUGGUCGUAGGAUAGAUGCACAUCUUCAGGGAGUCAAAUCAUCAUCCGGUGCUGUUCUUAAUGGAGAGUCGACUGUCCGCAGGGACUUUGAUCUGAAUGAUGGGCCUCUUCUGGAUGAGGUAAAUGCUGAGGUAUCUCCAUUUAGCCAGCAUAUCAGGAAUAAUACACCUUCCCAGCCAUCUGUCUCUGGUCUUCGGUUAAACAAUACGGAAAUGGGGAACUUCUCUUCAUGGUUUUCUCAAGUGAAUUCUUAUCCUGCUGUUGCUAUCCAAUCUAUUUUGCCUGAGAGAGGCGAGCAGCCUUUUCCAAUGGUCACACCUGGUGGGCCUCAACGGAUUUUGCCUCCUUCGGGUAGCACCCCUUUUAAUCCUGAUGUCUAUAGGGGGCCAGUGUUGUCAUCUGCACCAGCAGUACCCUUUCCAGCUUCACCAUUUCAAUAUCCUGUCUUUCCUUUUGGGACCAACUUACCUCUACCAUCAGCCACUUUCUCAGGUGGUUCAUCAACAUAUGUGGAUUCAUCAUCUGGUGGGAGACUUUGCUUUCCUGCAGUGCAUUCUCAAGUAUUAGCGCCUGCUGGUGCAGUUCCAUCCCAUUAUACAAGGCCUUUUGUUGUUAGCCUCCAGGACAAUAGCAAUAAUAGUGGCUCUGAAAGCAGUAGAAAAUGGGUAAGGCAAGGUCUAGAUCUCAAUGCAGGGCCUCUAGGCCCAGACAUGGAAGGAAAAGAUGAGACGCCAUCUCUGGCGUCAAGGCAAUUAUCUGUUGCCAAUGCACAGGCCUUUGUUGAGGAGCAGUCAAGGAUGUAUCAAGUGGCAGGUGGUGGCAUAUUGAAGAGGAAGGAGCCAGAUAAUGGGUGGGAAAGUUAUAAGCAAUCAUCAUGGCAAUAGAGAUGCUUAAUUGUGCAAACUAUCAAUCCAUGAAGCUGGUUUCAGUUCUUCUGGAUUCCUGCCGGCUAACUUUCAAAGGUCGUCAUCUCACUCAUGCUCUCCGAGGAUGGGAAGUGAGUGAGCUAUUCGAUGUCAUUCAGUCUCUGGCCCCCACUCUUUUGGUGUACGAAUUAUAUCUUAAAGGAAUCUGUUUGGGGUGUGCAAGCUGGUAUUCUCUUGAAAAUGUGCUGGGUGGCUGCUGUUCACUUUCUCCUUUGUAGAUAUGUUAACCGUUGGAAAGCAGCAUGCAGUCUGUUUCCCGGACAUUCAGAAUCAGUGCCAUUUCUGUGGUUCAGUGCAUCAAAGAAUUUAUACUGUUGGAUCCAAAAUUAUCCCUCCUUUUCCAACCUUUCUGAGAAUUGAGGAUGGGUUAGUGAAUUGCUUUAAACAGAAGCCUUUUGUAUGUGCUUUGAAGUUAAUUUAUCUUAUUUUUCCCAUCUUUCUUUUAAUUACAUAUAUAAAAUAGCAAGCAACUGGACAUCAUGUAGGAUGAUUCAAAUGACAGGUGAAGUCUGAUUUAGAGUUUUAAAUUGUAUCUGGGAAAAUUGAAGAUAUAUGCUAAAUACUGCAGGUCCAUUUGUGUGGGGUUGUUGGAGUCUCUGAUGGGCGAGUUAAGAAUGGGUAUGUCGAGGUUUGUUUAUUUGGAUUCUGUCGCUCCUGCCAUCAGAAUUAUUUUCAAUAUGCCAAUCAAUCCCCUUUGUUCCUCAAGUCCAUAAUAAUGUCACAGCUUUCUUCUUCUCUUCUUCUCGAGUAAAUUUAUGCAGGAUAUGACCGGUCUUCCUUCAGUGUCAUCAUCCUAUUAAGAGUAUCUUGUUUAUGAGUUAGAAUUUUCAUUAGUUUUUGCUUCUGCAAGGAAGUUUUGGUUGUUACUUGGUGUCCUCGAGUUAUUUGAAUGGUAACAAAUAUAUAUUCUGUA